This 1686-nucleotide ribosomal RNA is filed under the name Triticum aestivum (bread wheat). RNAcentral's name for it is "partial small subunit ribosomal RNA". Lineage: Eukaryota; Viridiplantae; Streptophyta; Magnoliopsida; Poales; Poaceae. The record is from RNAcentral.
AUGGCGCUGCGCGACGUGCUGCUGUCGGUGGCGCAGACGCCGCACCGGCUGCGGCGGAGGGCGCUGGUGACGUGGACGCCGGCGCAGGAGCUCAACGAGGUGCGCGACCGGUCGGGCGCGCGCAUGGCGCGGCGCCUCGAGUGGUACGACCUCGUGGGGCUCGGCGUGGGCGGGAUGCUCGGGGCCGGCGUCUUCGUCACCACCGGCAGGGUGGCCCGCGAUACGGCCGGCCCCGCCGUGUUCGUCUCCUACGUCGUCGCCGGCGUCUCCGCGCUGCUGUCCUCCUUCUGCUACGCCGAGUUCGCCGUGCGCGUCCCCGUCGCCGGCGGCGCCUUCAGCUACCUCAGGGUCACCUUCGGUGAGUUCGUGGGGUUCUUCGGGGGAGCCAACAUCCUGAUGGAGUACGUGCUGUCGAACGCGGCGGUGGCGAGGAGCUUCACGGACUACCUGGCGUCGACGUGCGGCGUCACGGAACCCAACGCGUGGAGGGUCGAGGUGGAGGCCAUCGCCAAGGGCUACAACGCGCUCGACUUCCCCGCCGUCGCGCUCAUCCUCCUCCUCACCGUAUGCCUCUGCUACAGCACCAAGGAGAGCUCGACGCUCAACAUGGUGCUCACGGCGUUCCACCUGCUCUUCUUCGCCUUCAUCAUCGUGGCCAGCUUCUGGAACGGCAGCGCGCGGAACAUGGUGACGCCCGGCGGGCUGGCGCCCUACGGAGUCCGGGGCGUCCUCGAUGGCGCGGCCGUCGUCUACUUCAGCUACAUCGGCUACGACUCGGCGUCCACCAUGGCCGAGGAGAUCCGGGACCCCGCCCGCGCGCUGCCCGUCGGCAUCGCCGGAUCGGUGCUCAUCGUCUCCGCGCUGUACUGCCUCAUGUCCGUCGCGCUCUGCGUCAUGCUGCCCUACACCGAGAUCACCGAGAGCGCGCCCUUCUCAUCGGCGUUCAGGGACAAGGCCGGGUGGAGGUGGGCGAGCAACGUCGUCGGGGCCGGCGCCAGCAUCGGCAUCGUGGCGUCGCUGCUGGUGGCCAUGCUGGGGCAGGCGAGGUACCUGUGCGUCAUCGCCAGAGCGAGGCUCGUGCCGGCGUGGCUCGCCAAGGUCCACCCUUCCACCGGCACCCCUAUGAACGCCACCAUCUUUCUAGGACUCUGCACGGCAUCAAUCGCGCUCUUCACUGAGCUGCAGAUAGUGUUCGAGAUGAUAUCGAUCGGAACACUCCUGGCCUUCUACCUGGUGGCCAACGCGCUCAUCUACCACCGGUACGCCAAGCUCGGCGCGACCCGGCCGCUCCACGUCCUCCUCUUCCUGCUGCUCCUGACACUAAGCUCAAUCGGCUUCUCCCUCUCGAGGAGGAUCGACGGGAAGUGGCGGUGGGGGAUGGCAUUGUUCGGCGCGAUGUCAGUGGCGGUCGUCGCAAUCUUCCACUGCACAGCACAGCAGGGCGCAACCAGGCCACCGUCGGAGUGGACGGUUCCUCUGAUGCCAUGGCCGGCUGCCGCGUCCGUCUUCCUGAAUGUGUUCCUCAUGACAACCCUGAAGGUGAGGUCCUUUCAGAGGUUCGGCAUCUGGAGCCUUGUGAUCACCAUCUUCUACGUGUGCUACGGGGUGCACUCCACAUACACUGCCGAGGAAAAUGAGAUCGUCAAUGCAAUGAUUCAUGACGCCAAUGCAGACAUAUUAUCUUAG